AUUGAACGCUGGCGGCAUGCCUUACACAUGCAAGUCGAACGGCAGCACGGGAGCAAUCCUGGUGGCGAGUGGCGAACGGGUGAGUAAAGUAUUGGAACGUGCCCAGUCGUGGGGGAUAACGUAGCGAAAGUUACGCUAAUACCGCAUACGAUCUAUGGAUGAAAGCGGGGGAUCGCAAGACCUCGCGCGAUUGGAGCGGCCGAUAUCAGAUUAGGUAGUUGGUGGGGUAAAGGCUCACCAAGCCGACGAUCUGUAGCUGGUCUGAGAGGACGACCAGCCACGCUGGGACUGAGACACGGCCCAGACUCCUACGGGAGGCAGCAGUGGGGAAUUUUGGACAAUGGGCGAAAGCCUGAUCCAGCCAUGCCGCGUGCAGGAUGAAGGCCUUCGGGUUGUAAACUGCUUUUGUACGGAACGAAAAGGUUUGGCCUAAUAAGCUGAGCUCAUGACGGUACCGUAAGAAUAAGCACCGGCUAACUACGUGCCAGCAGCCGCCGUAA
This 500-nucleotide ribosomal RNA is filed under the name uncultured bacterium. Its description in RNAcentral is "partial 16S ribosomal RNA". It matches the Rfam family "Bacterial small subunit ribosomal RNA", at positions 30 to 523 of the family's 1533-position model. The record is from RNAcentral.